This 63-nucleotide transfer RNA is filed under the name Pilsbryoconcha exilis. RNAcentral describes it as "tRNA-Asp". Lineage: Eukaryota; Metazoa; Mollusca; Bivalvia; Unionida; Unionidae. The record is from RNAcentral.
AAAGGAUUAGUUAAAAUAUAACAUAAGCUUGUCGAGCUUGGGUUGCCUUGGUGGCAUUCUUUU